This 492-nucleotide ribosomal RNA is filed under the name uncultured bacterium. Its description in RNAcentral is "bacterial SSU rRNA". It matches the Rfam family "Bacterial small subunit ribosomal RNA", at positions 28 to 511 of the family's 1533-position model. The record is from RNAcentral.
GACGAACGCUGGCGGCGUGCUUAACACAUGCAAGUCGAGCGGUAAGGCCCUUUCGGGGUACGACGAGCGGCGAACGGGUGAGUAACACGUGGGUGACCUGCCCUCAGCUCUGGGAGUAAGCCUGGGAAACCGGGGUACGUAAUACCGGAUAUGACUCCAUGACGCAUGUUGUGGGGUGGAAAGCCUUGUGCGGCUGAGGAUGGGCCCGCGGCCUAUCAGCUUGUUGGUGGGGUGAUGGCCUACCAAGGCGACGACGGGUAGCCGGCCUGAGAGGGCGACCGGCCACACUGGGACUGAGACACGGCCCAGACUCCUACGGGAGGCAGCAGUGGGGAAUCUUGCGCAAUGGGCGCAAGCCUGACGACGCAACGCCGCGUGGAGGAUGAAGAUCUUCGGGUCGUAAACUCUUCGAUCGAGACGAAUGACUUCCGGGUGAAUAAUCCGGAAGUGUGACGGUACCGAGAGAAGAAGCCCCGGCUAACUCCGUGCCAG